AACUAUGUUGAAUUGAAUUGAAAUUGAGUUCUCGUCUGAUCACUGAAGUUAAGCAGCGUCGGGCGCGGUUAGUACUUGGAUGGGUGACCGCUUGGGAACACCGCGUGCCGUUGCCU
RNAcentral lists this ribosomal RNA (116 nucleotides) under Tribolium castaneum (red flour beetle). Lineage: Eukaryota; Metazoa; Arthropoda; Insecta; Coleoptera; Tenebrionidae. The record is from RNAcentral.